Molecule: long non-coding RNA, 511 nt
Filed under: Homo sapiens (human)
Lineage: Eukaryota; Metazoa; Chordata; Mammalia; Primates; Hominidae
Description: HSALNT0096383
Source: RNAcentral
UCCAUUUUUAAAGCCUUAUUUCUUUGAUGAGGAAAAAUAUUGGAGGUGCAAGGAGACCACUGAAGAGGCCCUUUCAAAAGAUCAGAUGACAGAUGACAGACAAGGUGGUAACAGUGAAGAGGGUAUGAACUUCCACACAGCACAAAGGAUUUGCCUAAACAUUGUGCUAAGAGACGUGACCAAACUUUAGCCUGGCUGCCACCUGCACUAUACCAUGUCCCUUAAGGUGACACACAAUGCCACCAAACCAUGAAAUAUACAUUGUUCCAACCCACAAUCCCAAACCAUUUUCAGUAAUUCUUCACGUACUGCCCUCUGUAAUUUUCUAUUGCUCCACAGCUCCCUUAAUCUUUUUUUUUAUUUCCUCCUUUUUACUUCCCCAGAGCUCCUUUGUGUUUUCUCUGUUUUCCCUUUAAAACCCUCUGUCACAUUUGUCUUAGCUGGAGUUGAGCUCAGUGUAUACUGUGUCUCUCUCCCCUGUUGAAGUAGUCUGAAUAAAAUCUGUCUUGCC